CAGGAGAGAGAGAAGAUAAGACGGAGAGAGAGAAGGAGGAGAGGAGGGAGAGGAAAGGAGGUGCGGUGGCAGGGAAAUCGUCGUCGGAUGCGUCCUAUAUGUGAUGGGUGUGUUCCCAUCAAGUCGAUGGUGGGGUUGAUGUGCCCGUCGAUUCGGUGAUCCGCUGGCUGAGCUCGUCUUCUCAGUGGCGGACUUGUGUUCUAUGGUAGUCGGAGCCAUUGUAUGUGGUUAUGCAGUUGCUGAUGUACAGGAGGCAUCCGUGGUGUCAGUUCUUCAUCGUCCAUGCUUAUCUUCUAUAUGCUCUAGCAGCCAGCAGGAUUUAAUUGAUGGAGUCCUGCUGCUAAAGGACGUGAACAGGAAGUCCUAUCGCUGGAUGUUUACUGUCCGAAUUGCAAGGAUCUGGGAAUACAUGAGUACAGACCCUAUCAAAUUCUAUAGCUCUAUUCAUUGGCACACCAGUUGAUCAAUUUUGAGCUUUCAUAUCUACUUUGGACACCAGGUGGCACAUCAACAUUAUGUACCUGAAGCGAUCGCUACAGAAGAAAGGCGAUAACGGCGCCACGAGGAUUCGCUGCCGUGAGGAGGACCCCGACCCGUAUGAUGGCCACCGGAAGGUCACACACUUCUUUGGCUCGCUCAGACUGGCUCCAUUGACGACUUCUCUAUGGUAUCUUCUUGUGCAGCUUCAUACCUGCUUGUGUGUCUUGCAAAAAAGUAAGCUACCUGGUACCUCUCUACUCUGCUUUAGCAGGCGUUUGCAGAGGAAGCCAAGUGAUACAUGAUACUGGUGUAUUUGUUGGGUUCCUCUUGGCGUGUUGAACAAAAAUUGGUGGUCAGCACUGCUAUUUAAAGUUGGUUUGAUCAGUACUAGGGAAAACCCAUAUAUGGAAGGAAAUUAUUGUAGGUAUCUAAGAAUGCUGAUGAUUACACUCGGAGAAAGCCUUGUCACGGCGCUGCAAGUGUUGCCCCCCUCCUCCCCAAGGGCAAGGUGAAGGAAGGUGCGUGUGUGGUUCUUCUGCAGCUCGCAGCGAGGAUUGCGUGUCCAACCUGCACAAGAAUGCCAAGAAGUCCUUCUCGGAGACGAUUAAGGACAUGUACCUGCACUACAACGAGAGAUCCGGGAUGCUUUUUUGUGGCUUCCAAACUUGAAAUGUUUGUUUGUAAGUUAGUUUAUUUUUUUUGUGGAUUCACAGCUUCUCACAUGUACCAUCCUCUUAGACCUUUAUAUUUCCAAAGAAACUAAACGAAGAUAUGGUGGUAUGGUCUCAACAGUACAACUUGAAGCCUUCCAUGCUUUAUAUUUGCUCUAAAAUUUGCUCUUGAAGAAUCAUGUAUCUAUGUUAAAUCCGGUGAGAAAAAGCGGCUUCCAAGCAGA
Molecule: long non-coding RNA, 1375 nt
Organism: Triticum dicoccoides
Lineage: Eukaryota; Viridiplantae; Streptophyta; Magnoliopsida; Poales; Poaceae
Exons: 8
Source: RefSeq, a predicted model, not a curated record